RNAcentral lists this ribosomal RNA (1251 nucleotides) under uncultured prokaryote. RNAcentral's name for it is "bacterial SSU rRNA". It matches the Rfam family "Bacterial small subunit ribosomal RNA", at positions 35 to 1254 of the family's 1533-position model. The record is from RNAcentral.
GUUUAAAAGGGGAUAACAGACAUGCAAGUCGAGCGGAUGAGAGGAGCUUGCUCCUUGAUUUAGCGGCGGACGGGUGAGUAAUGCCUAGGAAUCUGCCUGGUAGUGGGGGAUAACGUUCCGAAAGGAACGCUAAUACCGCAUACGUCCUACGGGAGAAAGCAGGGGACCUUCGGGCCUUGCGCUAUCAGAUGAGCCUAGGUCGGAUUAGCUAGUUGGUGAGGUAAUGGCUCACCAAGGCGACGAUCCGUAACUGGUCUGAGAGGAUGAUCAGUCACACUGGAACUGAGACACGGUCCAGACUCCUACGGGAGGCAGCAGUGGGGAAUAUUGGACAAUGGGCGAAAGCCUGAUCCAGCCAUGCCGCGUGUGUGAAGAAGGUCUUCGGAUUGUAAAGCACUUUAAGUUGGGAGGAAGGGCAUUAACCUAAUACGUUAGUGUUUUGACGUUACCGACAGAAUAAGCACCGGCUAACUUCGUGCCAGCAGCCGCGGUAAUACGAAGGGUGCAAGCGUUAAUCGGAAUUACUGGGCGUAAAGCGCGCGUAGGUGGUUCGUUAAGUUGGAUGUGAAAGCCCCGGGCUCAACCUGGGAACUGCAUCCAAAACUGGCGAGCUAGAGUACGGUAGAGGGUGGUGGAAUUUCCUGUGUAGCGGUGAAAUGCGUAGAUAUAGGAAGGAACACCAGUGGCGAAGGCGACCACCUGGACUGAUACUGACACUGAGGUGCGAAAGCGUGGGGAGCAAACAGGAGUAGAUACCCUGGUAGUCCACGCCGUAGACGAUGUCAACUAGCCGUUGGGUUCCUUGAGAACUUAGUGGCGCAGCUAACGCAUUAAGUUGACCGCCUGGGGGAGUACGGCCGCAAGGUUAGAACUCAGAUGAAUUUGACGGGGGGCCCGCACAAGCGGGUGGAGCAUGUGGUGUUAAUUUCGAAGCAACGCAAAAGAGCCUUACCUGGCCUUGGACAUGCUGAGAACUUUCCAGAGAUGGAUUGGGUGGCGUUCGGGAACUCAGACACAGAUGCUGCAUGACUGUCGUCAGCUCGUGUCGUGAGAUGUUGGGAUUAGUCCCUAUACGAGCAGCAAACCCUUGAUCCUUAGGUACUAGCACGUAAGUGAUGGCGCCUCUAAGCGCAGACUGACCAGAUGACGAACCGGACCGACCCGUGAGGGGAUGGACGUGCAGGUCAUCAUGCCCUAACGGGGGCAAGGACUAGCCCACGUGACUAACAAAUGGGUCUCGGGGUACCGAGA